This 2795-nucleotide long non-coding RNA is filed under the name Haliotis rubra (blacklip abalone). RNAcentral describes it as "uncharacterized LOC124286483". Lineage: Eukaryota; Metazoa; Mollusca; Gastropoda; Lepetellida; Haliotidae. The record is from RNAcentral.
CCUUCACCUCAGUGUGAAAAGCGAAUCGUUCCAUACUCACCAUAGUAUUGCAAGAAAUAUGUGAUCUCAUAAUGUCUUUUUUGGCAUAUAUUAUAUAUCCAUUGGUCAUGACAACAUUAAUAUAAGAUUGUUCAAGCCACUACCAGAUACUUUAGGGAGCUAUUGCUAUUGUGUCUUCCACAAAUCUCUACAGUGAUCCGCCUUUGCACUUCACUGAAAAUUUACAAUGUAUAACGAAAGACACCCAUCCAGUAAUCCCACCAACAAAUAAUUAACAUUUUAAUUUCUAGACGAAACCGAAAUGUGUUUGUAAAUUGUCGCCUCCCAUCUUCAGAGAUCCCCGACAUGGGUACCCCAAGGUUCAGUAUUAAGUCCCUUUUCAUUCUUUUUAUACACAAUAAACUCGCGUAUUCCCCGUGGUCACUUCCAUUGAUGUAUUGUCUGUUCAGAAAGCGUAUGAAUACUUUAAGUAUGUGCUAUCUUACUGGGCGUACAGUUGUGUUGUAACAGUUAAUCAUGAUAAAUCUACAUACACUGUAUUACGUAACAAAAACAAUAUCGCAAAUCCUUAUUAUGUAUAUAAUAAUGCACCUAUUCGCCAUUCCUAUACUCGUAAACACCGUGAUGUAAAUACAUUUUUAGAUAUAUAAAGGUGUUAUAAUAUUAAGUGCAUAAGCGAUUUCUCAACUUAAAUGAUAUUUUCUACGGAAAUCUAAACCUAAAGGCAUGUGGUUGAUAGAUCAACUGUACUUAAACUAUAUAUUGCUCUCUAUACAAAUCUGAGGUCUGGCUAAACUGUACUUAAAACUUGGACUUAGACAAUUCAGCUGGUAGUAGCUAGAAUAGUUACUGUUCUUCCUAUUCGCAUCUCGAACUAGUUAUUAUUUGGAAUUAGCUGAACAACGUUGUUACCAAGACGUGAAACUAAUAAUAAAAAGUAUGAGACAAAACAACAACAUUUAAACAACCUAUUUCCAGCUCACUUUAAUGACCUUUUACCAUACUGAGUAGUCAUCAUUGGUCACCAGAAAUAAAAUAUCAGAAACAUUAAUAACAUUAGUAUUCCAGAACCUCGAACUGUUACUUUCACUGUUUUAUACCACCUAGAAAUGAAAUAUCCUCUCUUUGUAAUGUAUAGGUACCUCUACGUAAGUGCUUUAAAUGUUGUGUUUAACCGGAAAUAGAUCCAUCCUUGUUACUUAUAAAGUGGGAUUAUGAAACGUCGAGUUGUUGCCUACCUGCACUGUUUUAUACCACUUAAAGUAUGAAAUAACCGUUUUUGCUAAUAUAUAGGUACCUAUACGUACACGUUUGUAUUUUAAAUGUUUUGGUAAAGCGGAAAUAUAUUCCCCUAGUUAAUUAUAAAGUGUACGUGCUUCAUAAUCGUUACUGGUAUAUUUAGAGUCAGUUUGGAAGAAAAUCGAUGUGAAAAUUUCUUUUUACAUUUUCUUGAAUAUCGUAAUUAUAUAUGUUGUUAUCAGAACGAUAUGGUUUUAGAAGGAAGUCCUUUUUCGAUCCGGAUGAUUAUUUUUGAGUUUAUUUCAUGCUUUUCAUAUUAACGUCCAUAAACUUAAACGUGUGCUUUUUGUGUAAUAGUUCUGAAUUUAUACUCAUGUGAACUUUGGUUUUUUGUCAUUUACAAUGAGGCAGCAGAGAACAGUAUUUAUAACUUCAAUCUGUAUUUGUUAUUAAUUAUACAUGUUAAUAUUUCCACGGAUGCAUUGUCCGUUAUAAGCACUUUAAUUAGUCCAAUAUUUGAUAUUUCCACAAUUGACCGCUGUUUGUAAAUAUGUUUAUGAGAAGUGGGUCGUUUGUUAAACUACAUUUUACAAUUUACUAUUCAUUUGGUAUGUAUUUGACAUUUGACGUUUUCACCUUGCUGACAUCUACGUCUUAUUUAAUUACUGUCUUGUAAUUAGAGUGCAGUGAGUGGGUUUAGUUUUACCCGGUGGUUAGCAAUGGCCUUCGGCAUGACGAGCGAACGCUUCAGCCAUUAGGCUACCGCCCCUGUUAUAGGAGUGUUUAGGUUUGAUGCACCUACAUAUAACUAUGAUAAUUACUAUAUUAUUGAAAUUAUUUGAAAUCAGAUAACCAACGUGUCUUAGAUAUGUGUAAUGUGAUAUUUCUAAAUGAUGUUUCUUUUAAUGUUUGUAGUUUGUAAAAUAUCACAAAAAUUUCUUAAAUUGAUAAAAUAUUUGCAUGAUUUGAUAAAAUUGAUAAAAAAUAUACAAUAUGGUAUUUUGGAGUCACGUUAAUGAAUGCUAAACUGAUAUAAUGACUAUCUGCUGGUUAUGAAGAGAAGGGAUGAUAAAUGUGGAUUCUUGGAGUUCAUUCCACUGCGUGUGGAUCCUCGUACAGCUAAGGGAAACCAUUCAAAACAGCGAGCUGUGGAGUCUUGGACAACUAAACAGCUGCUCAUCAACAGCUGCUCAUCGCAGGUUUUUUUUCAUUACAUCUGCUCAGUAUCAUUAUGCAUCAAUGUCGGUUCAGUGUGGACGUUCUGUGACAUUUUCGAAUAUCUGUUGAACAUUUAUGUUACAGUAUUACAGUAAAAUACCUUCAAAACGAACUCCAAGGGGCCACUGAAAUUAUUUCGUUAUAUCCGUAGUUCGCUAUUCACUUUUUUAUAUGAUAAUAUAAGGUUUAUCCGGGACUUUUAAAACGGUUACCUAUAGCCGUCAGUUCGUUAUAUCCGUGUUCGUUAUAAAAGUAUUCUACUGUACAUGCUUUUGUAUUUAAUCACUAUUUGACUAUUGUCAUGUUUCUAACUGCAAUAAACAAUACAAUCAAUUAUA